UGGAGGAUGAAGGUCCUCUGGAUUGUAAACUUCUUUUAUCUGGGAAGAAACCCACGUUUUCCAACGUGGUUGACGGUACCAGUUGAAUAAGCACCGGCUAACUCCGUGCCAGCAGCCGCGGUAAUACGGAGGGUGCAAGCGUUAUCCGGAUUCACUGGGUUUAAAGGGUGCGUAGGCGGGUUGGUAAGUCCGUGGUGAAAGCCCCAAGCUUAACUUGGGAAUUGCCGUGGAUACUAUCAAUCUUGAAUAUCGAGGAGGUAAGCGGAAUAUGUCAUGUAGCGGUGAAAUGCUUAGAUAUGACAUGGAACACCAAUUGCGUAGGCAGCUUACUACACGAUCAUUGACGCUGAGGCACGAAAGCGUGGGUAGCGAACAGGAUUAGAUACCCUGGUAGUCCACGCCCUAAACUA
Molecule: ribosomal RNA, 410 nt
Filed under: uncultured bacterium
Lineage: Bacteria
Description: bacterial SSU rRNA
Rfam family: Bacterial small subunit ribosomal RNA
Source: RNAcentral